GGGGUUGUGCUCAGCGGUAGAGCACUCACCUAGCACCUGUGAGGCGCUGGGUUCAAUCCUCAACAACCACA
Molecule: transfer RNA, 71 nt
Filed under: Marmota monax (woodchuck)
Lineage: Eukaryota; Metazoa; Chordata; Mammalia; Rodentia; Sciuridae
Description: tRNA.Ala
Source: RNAcentral